Molecule: unclassified non-coding RNA, 802 nt
Filed under: Hevea brasiliensis (rubber tree)
Lineage: Eukaryota; Viridiplantae; Streptophyta; Magnoliopsida; Malpighiales; Euphorbiaceae
Source: RNAcentral
GAGAUAGUAAGAUUUCUUAUAGAAAAUUGUAGUAAUAAUGAUCCCAUUACCUUUGAAAAUACCCUUUCAACCUCUCAACUUUUUUCUCCUCCUCUCUUCUACGGUUUCAGCCUUAGCUUUGUUCCAGUAGCCAUCCCUUGCCUAAAGAGCAGGGGAUAAUCAAUUUCAGUUUCCUUUUUUAAGUGUGAGAGAUUCCUUUUCUUGUCUUUUUUCAGUCUCUCGUUCCAACUGCCUGUUUAGCGGCUUUUCCCUCUCCGUUUUUUGGGUUGGGUUUAGUUUUAGUUUUAUUUGUGUUUAGAUUAGAUGACUGCAGGUUUUGGGCUCCAACGUGAGGAAUUGGAGCAGAUCGGAAUUUAUGUGUUCAAUUUCUGACUUUUGGGGUUCCCCCGUUGACUGACGUAAUAAAAGGUGUUGGAUCACUGUUUCCAUCAAGGCUACACAAAAAUGAGAACCCUGUGACAGUCACUUCCUGGCUUUGUCCAGCACUAGUCAUAGCCCUUUAUUUUCUUCCAGCGUUAUGAAGGUUUAAUGUAGGGGAGUUAUUUGGAUUUUGGCGGAGCAUUUUGCCUCCCAUUGUUGGUGAUGUUAGUCUCUCCCAUGCAUGUGUGUUUUUCUGGUCAUGCAACUUCUCCUUGGUAGUCUCUACUGAUGAAGGAAGAGGAGAUGAUGGUUGCUACUGAAUUUGGAUUCGGGUCAAACCCGUUUAGAUCUAUGAAUCCAUGUUUGUCAAGGUGUUGAGCCCAACGUUCUUGGCCCUGGGUUUUGAAGGUAUUAUAACAGUGUUCUUUUAAUGGGCUUGACG